UUCCCACACUUCCCCUCUCCCUCAGUCUGGAUUUUCUCAUGCCCUCUCUUUUUCAAAGUAUCCCUAGUAUGAGAAAAUCCAGACUGAGGGAGGGGAAAAUGUGGGAA
Molecule: non-coding RNA, 107 nt
Organism: Podarcis lilfordi (Lilford's wall lizard)
Lineage: Eukaryota; Metazoa; Chordata; Lepidosauria; Squamata; Lacertidae
Source: the annotation of a GenBank genome assembly